AGAGUUUGAUCCUGGCUCAGAUUGAACGCUGGCGGCAGGCUUAACACAUGCAAGUCGAGCGGUAACAGAGAUAGCUUGCUAUCUGCUGACGAGCGGCGGACGGGUGAGUAAUGCUUGGGAAUAUGCCUUAUGGUGGGGGACAACAGUUGGAAACGACUGCUAAUACCGCAUAACGUCUACGGACCAAAGGGGGGGAUCUUCGGACCUCUCGCCAUUUGAUUAGCCCAAGUGAGAUUAGCUAGUUGGUGAGGUAAUGGCUCACCAAGGCGACGAUCUCUAGCUGGUUUGAGAGGAUGAUCAGCCACACUGGGACUGAGACACGGCCCAGACUCCUACGGGAGGCAGCAGUGGGGAAUAUUGCACAAUGGGCGAAAGCCUGAUGCAGCCAUGCCGCGUGUGUGAAGAAGGCCUUCGGGUUGUAAAGCACUUUCAGUUGUGAGGAAAGGGGUGUAGUUAAUAACUGCAUUCUGUGACGUAACAACAGAAGAAGCACCGCUAACUU
This 502-nucleotide ribosomal RNA is filed under the name uncultured bacterium. RNAcentral describes it as "bacterial SSU rRNA". It matches the Rfam family "Bacterial small subunit ribosomal RNA", at positions 8 to 503 of the family's 1533-position model. The record is from RNAcentral.